GGUACUCGAGUGGCGAACGGGUGAGUAACACGUGGGUGAUCUGCCUUGCACUUCGGGAUAAGCUUGGGAAACUGGGUCUAAUACCGGAUAGGACAGCUGUUUAGUGUCAGUUGUGGAAAGUUUUUUCGGUGCAAGAUGAGCUCGCGGCCUAUCAGCUUGUUGGUGGGGUAAUGGCCUACCAAGGCGUCGACGGGUAGCCGGCCUGAGAGGGUGUACGGCCACAUUGGGACUGAGAUACGGCCCAGACUCCUACGGGAGGCAGCAGUGGGGAAUAUUGCACAAUGGGCGGAAGCCUGAUGCAGCGACGCCGCGUGGGGGAUGAAGGCCUUCGGGUUGUAAACUCCUUUCGACAGGGACGAAGCGUAAGUGACGGUACCUGUAUAAGAAGCACCGGCUAACUACGUGCCAGCAGCCGCGGUAAUACGUAGGGUGCGAGCGUUGUCCGGAAUUACUGGGCGUAAAGAGCUCGUAGGUGGUUUGUCGCGUCGUCUGUGAAAUUCCGGGGCUUAACUCCGGGCGUGCAGGCGAUACGGGCUGACUUGAGUGCUGUAGGGGAGACUGGAAUUCCUGGUGUAGCGGUGAAAUGCGCAGAUAUCAGGAGGAACACCGACGGCGAAGGCAGGUCUCUGGGCAGUAACUGACGCUGAGGAGCGAAAGCAUGGGUAGCGAACAGGAUUAGAUACCCUGGUAGUCCAUGCCGUAAACGGUGGGCGCUAGGUGUAGGGGGCUUCCACGUCUUCUGUGCCGUAGCUAACGCAUUAAGCGCCCCGCCUGGGGAGUACG
This 783-nucleotide ribosomal RNA is filed under the name uncultured Actinomycetes bacterium. Its description in RNAcentral is "bacterial SSU rRNA". It matches the Rfam family "Bacterial small subunit ribosomal RNA", at positions 86 to 884 of the family's 1533-position model. Lineage: Bacteria; Bacillati; Actinomycetota; Actinomycetes. The record is from RNAcentral.